UAGGGAAUCUUCGGCAAUGGACGAAAGUCUGACCGAGCAACGCCGCUUGAGUGAAGAAGGUUUUCGGAUCGUAAAACUCUGUUGUUAGAGAAGAACAAGGACGUUAGUAACUGAACGUCCCCUGACGGUAUCUAACCAGAAAGCCACGGCUAACUACGUUCCAGCAGCUGCGGUAAUACGUAGGUGGCAAGCGUUGUCCGGAUUUAUUGGGCGUAAAGCGAGCGCAGGCGGUUUCUUAAGUCUGAUGUGAAAGCCCCCGGCUCAACCGGGGAGGGUCAUUGGAAACUGGGAGACUUGAGUGCAGAAGAGGGGAGUGGAAUUCCAUGUGUAGCGGUGAAAUGCGUAGAUAUAUGGAGGAACACCAGUGGCGAAGGCGGCUCUCUGGUCUGUAACUGACGCUGAGGCUCGAAAGCGUGGGGAGCAAACAGG
Molecule: ribosomal RNA, 429 nt
Filed under: Gemmatimonadota bacterium
Lineage: Bacteria; Pseudomonadati; Gemmatimonadota
Description: Gemmatimonadetes bacterium partial 16S ribosomal RNA
Rfam family: Bacterial small subunit ribosomal RNA
Source: RNAcentral